CUUGGAACUCGCCUGCAACGGGACAAAGCCAUCUCACCUAGACUGUUGUUAUGAAGAUUGAAUUAGGUGAUUCUGAGAGGCAUUUAUGCGUCCUCCCUGAGUAACAAUCCAUGAAAAGUGGGCGUCAUUGCUGAAGCUCAAGGAAGAAAUAUGAAAUUUGAUUAUAUCCUUAUUCACGGCAUUGGGUCACCAACUCAGCACUUUUUAUGAAAGUAGCAUCUGACCUGGCAAAGGCUGUGUCAUCUUAUUACCUCAGAAAGACAAAUUUACGGGGUCAGACGAUGGAUGGCUUGUAGAUUUCUCAAUGGGCUGGAAGGAAGGAGAGAAAAAGAGAGACAGGAGAGAGUACACAUUUAAUUCUGCUUCCCCUAGGGUGAUAUUUCCUUCCUCCCCUUCCAGGGUUCUCAAAAAGGCAUUCUAGGAAGUCCUGUAAAAUACAUGCUCAUAAAAAUCUCAUAAUUUCCACAAAUUGUUGAGAAUUUAAAACUCGGUUGGGAGUUUGCUGUUUCAGCCUGAGACACCGGGGUCACGUUUCAGUGCCUGCAGUCUUGAGACAGUACCAGGCAUCUGGGAUGAAGCUGAGGAAAGAAGAUGUGGGGGCCCUGCUGGCCUGCUCCUUCUCUCGAAAGACGCUUACCGGCUGCUGGUGUGUCACAGGGCUUUAGGAUUUGGAAAAACAGAGGGAUUUAAAAGAAGAUAGAAUGGUCAGAAUUUCGAGAACUGUGUGCUGAAGUGCCAUCUUUAGGGUGCUCAUAACACGGCCUUACAACAUUAGAGGUGCUGGAAUCAUGGAAGAGGCAUCUGGACUCUGUAAUGUCCUUCCCCCUGGAAAAUCUGCUCCAGAAGUGGGGGAUUGGGAGCUGUCAACAUAUGAGCCAUCUUUUGCUCCGUUCAAGAUGGUAGGGGCAUUCUCAACAUGCCCCUCACUCUGAUUCUGCCUCACUUUUAUUUUAGAAUUUUCCACUGCCUUUUCUGGAAUGUGCUUUUUCAACCCUCAAAAUCUGUAGAGAAGAAAUAAGCAGAAACCGAAAUGGCUUUCUGGUGUUCUCCAUGCUCUCAGCUUACUGGAAAAUCGAGCCGCAGGCUCGAGGCUGGACUUUAAGGCAGAGCACUGCAAUUAUAGUGCUAUGGCCUUGGCUUCCUUUCUCAUCACCCAGGUACAGUCCUGCAGUCCUCAGAGGAUGCCAGUCCCACACAGGGGGAUCCUUCUCCAUAGGAAAACCGAGGAACAAUGCAGGUUCGAGGUGCACAGUGGCUAAGCACACUCAGUCCUCAAGAUCUUUCCUCUCAAAUGCUAAUGCUACCUUCAGAUGGGCUGCUGCCUGCUACCAUUUCAACAUUGAGUCCUUUAAGAUGCCAUCAGAGAGAGGGGAAGCAAGAGGCCAAGAAAAAUGAAAGUUACUGUUCUUCAAGUGAGGGCGAAGCGCUUCUCUUCUCCUCUCUGAUAGCUCUGCAGCUCUCUAAGUAAACUCUUUGACAAACACAUCGCAGCAGCGAGUGGAAACAUGUCUGAGACGCUGCAGCAUAGCCCGGCUGGUUCUGUUCUUAGCAGUAUUUGCUAAGUUCCAUCCAUUAGAAUGUUUUUAAACAAUGGGACGCAUGUCAUCUUGAUUUGACAGGAUAAUCCUGAGUUUAUAGAAUUUCAUCACAGUGUGUGAAACUGGUUUUUAACUUCACUAUACUGGCCCUCAGCGGUGGAGUCAACUGGGCACUGAAUAGAAAAAUCUCCCUCCUCCGUGUUGUCCCCAGCCCACCACAUUUCGCCCUAAGCUCUGCCCUGCACCAACACCAGCCUUCUUCUGGAGUUUGGCAGCUGUGGCAACUGCUGGCUGUCUCUCAACCACUUCACAAUAUGUAUCAAUGUAUUCUACAAAUCAUUGUAUUUGCCAAGCAUUCUACUACUACACAGUUCUGAUUCAACUGACGUGUAUCUUAGAGGUCAAUAUAUUUUCUUUUUCCCUUAGCUUGGCUAGGACUCCAUAGGAAACAGCUAUUUGAGUGAUGAUAUAUAGGAGAAGGAUAGUACUGUAUUUAACUGUCUGUUAAUAUCAGAGAAGAUGAAUAUUUUUCACCUCCCUGUACAUAGCUAUGCAUAAGCUUGGUAUUCAUUUAUGAACAAUGUAGCAUUUUCAAAGGCACAACUGAUUUACUUACAUUAAGUCAAUAUAAAUAAAUUAUGUUAGUAGAUUGCGAAUUUUGAAAGUUGUAAUCAACAUCAAAAAUGAAAUGUCUUGGUUGUCCAACUUAAAUUAUAUAAUGCAAUUUCAACACAGUAAAAAAAAAAUCACCUAGCGUAAUAGUGAGAGUUUGAAUCAUUAUUAGUUAGAUUCUUGUUUGUAUUAAUUAAGAAUUUCACAGACAUUGUUUGUAAGUGAAAAAGAUAUUUUAAAUAAGUAUUUAGAACAAUUUUUGUUUUGUGAUCCUUCAUGCUGCCUGUUGAAUGAGUUAAGCAAAAAAGAAUUACAAAUGGUUUAAACAGAAAAGGAUUGGCAAAUAAAUAAACUAGAGUUGUGCUGGAGAAAAGUGCAAAACCCUUGACUCAUUUUAAAGAUAUUUUAAAUAAAAUAUUAGUGAUCAUUUAAAUUAAUAAACAGUUCUAAGUUUAAAAAAAUCAGGAAAACUUUAAUUACAUUGAAAAUUACCAAUGUGUCCUGUGUUCUACCAAAGUUUAGAAAAUUCUAUUUACAAUUAGAUGACCUUGGAGAUUGAGAUUAAAAAGGUGAGUUAGUUCCCAGUCCAUAUUUAACAUUUUUUUUUGUACAGAAUCCCAUUAUUAUUUUCUCCCUUAGAAAAAAUUAGAAGCUAAGUUAUGCUAUGUUUAGGACAGAUAUGACUCUGUUUUGGCAGGUAAUGGAUGUCAGGAAUGAUUUUCUAAUGGCUAGUACAAUGUUUUGGGGUUUUUUAUUUUUUAAUAUUAUUUUGUAAUUGACAAAUAACAAUUGUACAACAGCACAAUGUUUGGUUGUGAUUUCUACUACUGUCAAAUGUUGUCUUCUGGUGACUAGACCUUUCGCUUUUUGACUGUGUUUAAGCUGGAAGCCCUAAAGCCACUGCAGGGUCAAGCGUCCCCAGUGCAGUGAUGGUCAUGGGGCCGUCACUACCCACUGAAAGCUGGGAGAGGACAGCCCUGGCGGGGUCUGCAGUGAUGGUCACAGGGCCGUCACUACCCACUGAAAGCUGGGAGAGGACAGCCCUGGCGGGGUCAACUCCCCCCCGAUGCAGUGAUGGUCACGGGGCCGUCACUACCCACUGAAAGCUGGGGGAAGACAGCCCUGGCGGGGCCAAGGAGCUUGCAGUGUCCCAUCAACCCUCCUGGAGAGAUGCCUGAGACCCGGUUUUACCUAUGAGUCUGGCCUCAGGACAGGAAAGAUGGGGACACGCACAGCUGAGGCAAGAGCCAUGACAGGGCAUCUGCUGUCAGCCACAUCCACCCCAGAGGGAAGCAUGCCCUUACCCCAGAGGUGAGGACACAGAGAUCCAGAGGCGGCGCUGGUGCCCUUCACUGGGGCCACACCACAGGGCCUUUCCUUCCUUUGUCAACCUUGCUCUGUGGGCCAGGGGAGCUCACUCAACCUCACUCUCUUUAAACCCUUCAUGCCAACCCAGAAUCUGGCUCUGCUCAUCCUUGCUACGCUAGAGUGGGCUUUACUGUUACUCAGAGGCUGACAAAAAUACUUGAGAAGAGUCACUUCCAGCACGACAGAAGGAGGAGGCUGACAAAUCAUCUUACCUAAAAGCAACUAUUAUGCCGGACAAAAGUGUCAAAAUAAUCCUUAUGGCACUCCCGAAAAUGGCCAAGUCUCUGGCUCAGCUCUGGCACUGAAGGUGGUCAGCCCAGACAAGGCAGGCACUGCAGAGGGGCUCACUGAUUCUGAGUGUGGUCGGUGAAAGUGGUGGUCCUGGGGGCAAGCAGACAGGGAAGGUGGCAGCUCCACCACCUGGGGCCGUGGUCAGUCACAUUCAGGCAAGCAGCAGGCUGACAGGUCCUUCCUUCCUGCCUGCCUUCCUUCCUUCCUUUUUUCCUUCCUUCCUUUUUUCCUUCCUUCCUUUUUUCCCUCCUUCCUUCCUUCCUUCCUCCUUUCUUCCUUCCUCCCUCCCUUUACAUUACAG
RNAcentral lists this long non-coding RNA (4110 nucleotides) under Homo sapiens (human). Its description in RNAcentral is "HSALNT0099404". The record is from RNAcentral. Lineage: Eukaryota; Metazoa; Chordata; Mammalia; Primates; Hominidae.